GCGCAACGUGGCCGACGCGUGGGCGUCGAUCCUGUUGCCGCCGGGGUGGUCUCAGGAGAAGACGGAGCGGUUGCGUUCGCUGUUGCGGUC
This 90-nucleotide transfer RNA is filed under the name Mycolicibacterium psychrotolerans. RNAcentral's name for it is "tRNA-Gly". Lineage: Bacteria; Bacillati; Actinomycetota; Actinomycetes; Mycobacteriales; Mycobacteriaceae. The record is from RNAcentral.